Molecule: long non-coding RNA, 396 nt
Filed under: Lathyrus oleraceus (garden pea)
Lineage: Eukaryota; Viridiplantae; Streptophyta; Magnoliopsida; Fabales; Fabaceae
Description: Pisum sativum (pea) long non-coding RNA (PSAT_LNC030567)
Source: RNAcentral
AACGUCGAGUUUUUCCCAUUCGUCCGUUGACGUUUGGUUGUAUCCUUUUCCAGUCAUCCGUUGAUGUCUGGUCACCUCUCCGUUGGUGUCGGUAAACGUCGAGUUUCUCUUAUUCGUUCAUUGACAUAUGGUUGAGUCUUCCCAUUCAUCCAUUGAUGUCUGGUCACCUCUCCGUUGGUGUCGGUAAACGUCGAUUGUUUCCCAUUCGUCCGUUGACGUUUGGUUGUAUCCUUUUCCAGUCAUCCGUUGAUGUCUGGUCACCUCUCUGUUGGUGUCGAUAAACGUCGAGUUUCUCCCAUUCGUCCGUUGACGUAUGGUUGAGUCUUCCCAUUCAUCCGUUGAUGUCUGGUCACCUCUCCGUUGGUGUCGGUAAACGUCGAGUUUUUCCCAUUCGUC